This is a non-coding RNA of Naganishia friedmannii, 117 nucleotides long. The record is from the annotation of a GenBank genome assembly. Lineage: Eukaryota; Fungi; Basidiomycota; Tremellomycetes; Filobasidiales; Filobasidiaceae.
UUCUCACUAGCACAGUGGUAGUUGCGUCGAGCUGUUAUUCAGAGCUUCCCAUCUUGGGGUCAAAGCGAUGUCUUGGUAGUGACUCGAAGGUCGUUGGUUCGACUCCAACGUGGGAAG